UCAUGUGGGCUCAUUUCUGCUCUUAGGCCAACCCUUUCUUCUUUCCCCAUUCUUCCUCUUUAUGCCCCCUGCCCCUGCAGUGAGAAAAAACGCAAGCCUGCAUGGACCGAUCGCAUCCUGUGGAGGCUGAAGCGGCAGCCCUGUGCUGGCCCCGACACUCCCGGACCACCGGCGUCACACUUCUCCUUGUCUCUGAGGGGCUACAGCAGCCACAUGAUGUAUGGCAUCAGCGACCACAAGCCUGUCUCCGGCACGUUCGACUUGGAGCUGAAGCCAUUGGUGUCUGCUCCGCUGAUCGUCCUGAUGCCCGAGGACCUGUGGACCGUGGAAAAUGACAUGAUGGUCAGCUACUCUUCAACCUCGGACUUCCCCAGCAGCCCGUGGGACUGGAUUGGACUGUACAAGGUGAUGUGGUGGCAAGGCAGGAAGUCCCUCAGUGACAGCCCCUGGUUCAUCCUUCCCGAGGGCUCCUGGGAGCUGGGCAGAUGCUGACGAACUCACCCUCAUCCACCCCAGCGGUUCUUCUGUAGCUAAAGGCUGGCAGUGAAGGGCGGCGGGGAGGCACACAGUACGGUAGCCAGG
Molecule: small RNA, 582 nt
Filed under: Pan troglodytes (chimpanzee)
Lineage: Eukaryota; Metazoa; Chordata; Mammalia; Primates; Hominidae
Description: retained intron
Source: RNAcentral